GAAAUAGCUUACAAAUAAAAGGUUAAGCCGUAAAGGUAUGUAAGUUUUACCAAAUUCUGAUAUUUCAUUUUGAGUUAAAGAUCAUUGAUCAGUGCCUGACUUGAGAAUCAGAGUACCUUUUAUAGGUAUCCUCCACCUGGGUACGAACCUGAAGCAUUGGGAGUAAAAGGUUCAGAGGUCAGGAGGACAAGAAGGCUACG
This 200-nucleotide long non-coding RNA is filed under the name Vigna radiata. RNAcentral describes it as "long non-coding RNA (VRAD_LNC007867)". The record is from RNAcentral. Lineage: Eukaryota; Viridiplantae; Streptophyta; Magnoliopsida; Fabales; Fabaceae.